GAUGAACGCUGGCGGCGUGCCUAAUACAUGCAAGUCGAGCGAACGGACGAGAAGCUUGCUUCUCUGAUGUUAGCGGCGGACGGGUGAGUAACACGUGGAUAACCUACCUAUAAGACUGGGAUAACUUCGGGAAACCGGAGCUAAUACCGGAUAAUAUUUUGAACCGCAUGGUUCAAAAGUGAAAGACGGUCUUGCUGUCACUUAUAGAUGGAUCCGCGCUGCAUUAGCUAGUUGGUAAGGUAACGGCUUACCAAGGCAACGAUGCAUAGCCGACCUGAGAGGGGGAUCCGCCAAAAUGGAACUGAGACACGGGCCAGACUCCUACGGGAGGCAGCAGUAGGGAAUCUUCCGCAAUGGGCGAAAGCCUGACGGAGCAACGCCGCGUGAGUGAUGAAGGUCUUCGGAUCGUAAAACUCUGUUAUUAGGGAAGAACAUAUGUGUAAGUAACUGUGCACAUCUUGACGGUACCUAAUCAGAAAGCCACGGCUAACUACGUG
RNAcentral lists this ribosomal RNA (497 nucleotides) under uncultured bacterium. RNAcentral's name for it is "partial 16S ribosomal RNA". It matches the Rfam family "Bacterial small subunit ribosomal RNA", at positions 28 to 507 of the family's 1533-position model. The record is from RNAcentral.